AAUCCCUCCCAGCAGUGGGCAAAGCUGAGAACCAACAACCCUUCAUCACACAACAGAAGGUUCAAAGGCUUAAGAAUGCGAUCACAACCAGUUAUAGGUUCCUUUGUUCCUUCUCCACUCCCACGGCUUCACUUGAGUAGUUUUUA
Molecule: small RNA, 146 nt
Filed under: Otolemur garnettii (small-eared galago)
Lineage: Eukaryota; Metazoa; Chordata; Mammalia; Primates; Galagidae
Description: Y RNA (ENSOGAG00000023740.1)
Source: RNAcentral